UACGGGGGGGCAAGCGUUGUUCGGAAUUACUGGGCGUAAAGGGCUCGUAGGCGGCCAACUAAGUCAGACGUGAAAUCCCUCGGCUUAACCGGGGAACUGCGUCUGAUACUGGAUGGCUUGAGGUUGGGAGAGGGAUGCGGAAUUCCAGGUGUAGCGGUGAAAUGCGUAGAUAUCUGGAGGAACACCGGUGGCGAAGGCGGCAUCCUGGACCAAUUCUGACGCUGAGGAGCGAAAGCCCAGGGGAGCAAACGGGAUUAGAUACCCGUGG
Molecule: ribosomal RNA, 268 nt
Filed under: uncultured bacterium
Lineage: Bacteria
Description: partial 16S ribosomal RNA
Rfam family: Bacterial small subunit ribosomal RNA
Source: RNAcentral